UGCUAGUCGAGUGGCUCAGGCAAAACGAGUCACGGCACACAGCUCAGUAACACGUGGCUAAUCUGCCCUUAGGACGAGAACAACCCCGGGAAACUGGGGCUAAUUCUUGAUAGGUGAAGAACUCUGGAAUGAGUCUUUGCUUAAAUGGAUUCACGUUAUCCUCGUGAGUUUGCCUAAGGAUGAGGCCGCGACCGAUCAGGUUGUUGGCGAGGUAAUGGCUCACCAAGCCUUUUACCGGUGCGGGCCGUGGGAGCGGGAGCCCGGAGAUGGGUACUGAGACAAGGACCCAGGCCCUACGGGGCGCAGCAGUCGCGAAACCUUUGCAAUACACGAAAGUGUGACAGGGCUAUCCCGAGUGCCAUCCGCUGAGGAAGGCUUUUACCCAGUCUAGAACGCUGGGGGAAUAAGGAGAGGGCAAGUCUGGUGUCAGCCGCCGCGGUAAUACCAGCUCUCCGAGUGGUGUGGAUGUUUAUUGGGCCUAAAGCAUCCGUAGCUGGCUAGGUAAGUCCUUUGUUAAAUCCACCGAAUUAAUCGUUGGAUCGCGGGGGAUACUGCUUGGCUAGGGGACGAGAGAGGCAGACGGUAUUUUCGGGGUAGGGGUGAAAUCCUAUAAUCCCGGGAAGACCACCAGUGGCGAAGGCUGUCUGCUAGAACGCGCCCGACGGUGAGGGAUGAAAGCUGGGGGAGCGAACCGGAUUAGAUACCCGGGUAGUCCCAGCUGUAAACGAUGCAGACUAGGUGUUUGGACGGCCACGUGCCGUUCUAGUGCCGCAGGAAAGCUGUUAAGUCUGCCGCCUGGGGAGUACGAUCGCAAGAUUGAAACUUAA
This 827-nucleotide ribosomal RNA is filed under the name uncultured crenarchaeote. RNAcentral's name for it is "bacterial SSU rRNA". It matches the Rfam family "Archaeal small subunit ribosomal RNA", at positions 52 to 859 of the family's 1478-position model. The record is from RNAcentral. Lineage: Archaea; Thermoproteati; Thermoproteota.